UGGGGAAUUUUGGACAAUGGGCGCAAGCCUGAUCCAGCGACGCCGCGUGGAUGAUGAAGGCCUUCGGGUUGUAAAGUCCUUUCGGUAGGAAAGAUUAUGACGGUACCUACAGAAGAAGCUCCGGCUAACUUCGUGCCAGCAGCCGCGGUAAUACGAAGGGAGCUAGCGUUACUCGGAAUUAUUGGGCGUAAAGCGUGCGUAGGCGGCCGAGAAAGUUGGAUGUGAAAGCCCAGGGCUCAACCCUGGAAUU
RNAcentral lists this ribosomal RNA (250 nucleotides) under uncultured bacterium. RNAcentral's name for it is "partial 16S ribosomal RNA". It matches the Rfam family "Bacterial small subunit ribosomal RNA", at positions 355 to 622 of the family's 1533-position model. The record is from RNAcentral.